CGCGUAGGUGGUUUGUUAAGCGAGAUGUGAAAGCCCCGGGCUCAACCUGGGAAUUGCACCCGAUACUGGCCGACUGGAGUGCGAGAGAGGGAGGUAGAAUUCCACGUGUAGCGGUGAAAUGCGUAGAUAUGUGGAGGAAUACCGGUGGUGAAGGCGGCCUCCUGGCUCGACACUGACGCUGAGGUGCGAAAGCGUGGGGAGCAAACA
RNAcentral lists this ribosomal RNA (207 nucleotides) under uncultured bacterium. RNAcentral's name for it is "partial 16S ribosomal RNA". It matches the Rfam family "Bacterial small subunit ribosomal RNA", at positions 568 to 774 of the family's 1533-position model. The record is from RNAcentral.